GAUGAACGCUGGCGGCGUGCCUAAUACAUGCAAGUCGAGCGAACGGACGAGAAGCUUGCUUUUCUGAUGUUAGCGGCGGACGGGUGAGUAACACGUGGAUAACCUACCUAUAAGACUGGGAUAACUUCGGGAAACCGGAGCUAAUACCGGAUAAUAUUUUGAACCGCAUGGUUCAAAAGUGAAAGACGGUCUUGCUGUCACUUAUAGAUGGAUCCGCGCUGCAUUAGCUAGUUGGUAAGGUAACGGCUUACCAAGGCAACGAUGCAUAGCCGACCUGAGAGGGUGAUCGGCCACACUGGAACUGAGACACGGUCCAGACUCCUACGGGAGGCAGCAGUAGGGAAUCUUCCGCAAUGGGCGAAGGCCUGACGGAGCAACGCCGCGUGAGUGAUGAAGGUCUUCGGAUCGUAAAACUCUGUUAUUAGGGAAGAACAUAUGUGUAAGUAACUGUGCACAUCUUGACGGUACCUAAUCAGAAAGCCACGGCUAACUACGUA
Molecule: ribosomal RNA, 497 nt
Filed under: uncultured bacterium
Lineage: Bacteria
Description: partial 16S ribosomal RNA
Rfam family: Bacterial small subunit ribosomal RNA
Source: RNAcentral